This 494-nucleotide ribosomal RNA is filed under the name uncultured bacterium. Its description in RNAcentral is "bacterial SSU rRNA". It matches the Rfam family "Bacterial small subunit ribosomal RNA", at positions 28 to 507 of the family's 1533-position model. The record is from RNAcentral.
GAUGAACGCUAGCGGCAGGCUUAAUACAUGCAAGUUGAGGGGCAGCAUGAUAUACGCGAGUAUAUUGAUGGCGACCGGCGGACGGGUGAGUAAUAGGUAGGAGACCUACCUCAUACAGGGGGAUAGCAUAGAGAAAUCUGUGGUAAUACCCCAUGAGGUUAUAUGAAUAGAGGCAUAUAAUCAAAGCAUAAGCGAUUAUGCGGUAUGAGAGGGGCCUACUGACCAUUAGCUAGUUGGUGAGGUAAGGGCUCACCAAGGCGAAGAUGGUUAGGGGUUUUGAGAGAGAGACCCCCCACAUUGGAACUGAGAGACGGUCCAGACUCCUACGGGAGGCAGCAGUAGGGAAUAUUGGGCAAUGGGCGAAAGCCUGACCCAGCCAUGCCGCGUGAAGGAAGACGGCCUUAUGGGUUGUAAACUUCCUUACUACGCGAAUAGAGGUUAGUACGAGAUACUAAUAGGAAGGUAGUGUAGUAAAAGCACCGGCUAACUCCGUG